Molecule: ribosomal RNA, 253 nt
Filed under: uncultured bacterium
Lineage: Bacteria
Description: partial 16S ribosomal RNA
Rfam family: Bacterial small subunit ribosomal RNA
Source: RNAcentral
UACAGAGGUCCCAAGCGUUACUGAGAAUCACUGGGUUUAAAGGGUGCGUAGGUGGUCCGUUAAGUCAGUUGUGAAAUCCCCGGGCUCAACCCGGGAACUGCUUCUGAUACUGGCGGACUUGAGGCCAGUAGAGGUCACUGGAACUGACGGUGGAGCGGUGAAAUGCGUAGAUAUCGUCAGGAACGCCGGUGGUGAAGACGGGUGACUGGGCUGGUUCUGACACUGAGGCACGAAAGCGUGGGGAGCGAACGGG